RNAcentral lists this ribosomal RNA (429 nucleotides) under Pseudomonadota bacterium. RNAcentral's name for it is "Proteobacteria bacterium partial 16S ribosomal RNA". It matches the Rfam family "Bacterial small subunit ribosomal RNA", at positions 355 to 776 of the family's 1533-position model. Lineage: Bacteria; Pseudomonadati; Pseudomonadota. The record is from RNAcentral.
UGGGGAAUAUUGGACAAUGGGCGAAAGCCUGAUCCAGCCAUGCCGCGUGUGUGAAGAAGGUCUUCGGAUUGUAAAGCACUUUAAGUUGGGAGGAAGGGCAGUAAGCGAAUACCUUGCUGUUUUGACGUUACCGACAGAAUAAGCACCGGCUAACUCUGUGCCAGCAGCCGCAGUAAUACAGAGGGUGCAAGCGUUAAUCGGAAUUACUGGGCGUAAAGCGCGCGUAGGUGGUUCGUUAAGUUGAAUGUGAAAGCCCCGGGCUCAACCUGGGAACUGCAUCCAAAACUGGCGAGCUAGAGUAGGGCAGAGGGUGGUGGAAUUUCCUGUGUAGCGGUGAAAUGCGUAGAUAUAGGAAGGAACACCAGUGGCGAAGGCGACCACCUGGGCUCAUACUGACACUGAGGUGCGAAAGCGUGGGGAGCAAACAGG